UACAGAGGGUGCAAGCGUUGUUCGGAAUUAUUGGGCGUAAAGGGCGCGUAGGCGGUGCGGUAAGUCUGUAGUGAAAUCCCCGGGCUCAACCUGGGAACUGCAUUUGUGACUGCAUCGCUAGAGUACGGCAGAGGGGGGAUGGAAUUCCGCGUGUAGCAGUGAAAUGCGUAGAUAUGUGGAGGAACACCGAUGGCGAAGGCAGCCCCCUGGGUCAAGAUUGACGCUCAUGCACGAAAGCGUGGGGAGCAAACAGG
RNAcentral lists this ribosomal RNA (254 nucleotides) under uncultured bacterium. RNAcentral describes it as "partial 16S ribosomal RNA". It matches the Rfam family "Bacterial small subunit ribosomal RNA", at positions 524 to 776 of the family's 1533-position model. The record is from RNAcentral.